RNAcentral lists this ribosomal RNA (225 nucleotides) under uncultured bacterium. Its description in RNAcentral is "partial 16S ribosomal RNA". It matches the Rfam family "Bacterial small subunit ribosomal RNA", at positions 524 to 747 of the family's 1533-position model. The record is from RNAcentral.
UACGUAGGGUGCAAGCGUUGUCCGGAAUUAUUGGGCGUAAAGAGCUCGUAGGCGGUCUGUCGCGUCUGCUGUGAAAACUCAGGGCUUAACCCUGAGCUUGCAGUGGGUACGGGCAGACUAGAGUGCGGUAGGGGAGACUGGAAUUCCUGGUGUAGCGGUGGAAUGCGCAGAUAUCAGGAGGAACACCAAUGGCGAAGGCAGAUCUCUGGGCCGUAAACUGACGCU